RNAcentral lists this ribosomal RNA (425 nucleotides) under uncultured bacterium. Its description in RNAcentral is "partial 16S ribosomal RNA". It matches the Rfam family "Bacterial small subunit ribosomal RNA", at positions 354 to 796 of the family's 1533-position model. The record is from RNAcentral.
GUAGGGAAUAUUAGUAAUGGGCGAAAGCCUGAACUAGCAACGCCGCGUGUGCGAAGAAGGCCUUCGGGUUGUAAAGCACUUUUUGAGAGGAUGAGGAAGGACGGUACUCUCAGAAUAAGUCUCGGCUAACUACGUGCCAGCAGCCGCGGUAACACGUAGGAGGCGAACGUUAUCCGGAUUUACUGGGCGUAAAGCGCGUGUAGGUGGUUUGGUAAGUAGGGCGUGAAAGCUCCUGGCUCAACUGGGAGAGGCCGUUCUAAACUGCCGAACUAGAGGAUGGUAGAGGGGGGUGGAAUUCCGGGUGUAGCGGUGGAAUGCGCAGAUAUCCGGAGGAACACCAGUGGCGAAAGCGGCCUCCUGGACCACUCCUGACACUCAGACGCGAAAGCUAGGGUAGCAAACGGGAUUAGAAACCCCGGUAGUCC